RNAcentral lists this long non-coding RNA (2889 nucleotides) under Citrus sinensis (sweet orange). Its description in RNAcentral is "long non-coding RNA (CSIN_LNC003868)". The record is from RNAcentral. Lineage: Eukaryota; Viridiplantae; Streptophyta; Magnoliopsida; Sapindales; Rutaceae.
CGGAUUCAUUAUUAUUACUAAUCAAUUGAAAACAACUUAAACAUGUUCUGCAAAUAUUACAAAUUAAACCUAAAAAUGAAUUAAAAAACAAAAGAAAAUCGUGACCCUCCUCCUCCUUUUCUCUUCACUGCCGUUCUCUCUUUCCCCUCACCUUUCUUGAUCCAGUUGCAGCAAAUCUGCACUCCCUCCCUCCCCUUAUCUUCAUCCACUGCCCAGCAAAUCUGCACUCUCAAAUCUGCACUUUCUCAGUUGCAACAUCUUUCUCUCUCGUCUCAGCCCAGCCGUUGCUGCUCCGUCUUUGCUCUCCCGGAUCUGUCACUUGCCCAGCCGCCAUCUCGCUGCAACCACUGCUGCUCCAUCCAACUAGCUUGACUGUUUUUGCUCUCUCAGCUCCAUCUUUGUUAUGUGAGUUGCUGAUUGGGUUUUAAUUUGAUUGCGUACAAUAAUUAUUUUCUAAGGCUUGCGUACAAUCGAAUUUGGCAUUCAUUGGGUUUUAAUUUGCUUGGGAAUCUUUGUUAUGUGAGUUGCUGAUUGGGUUUUGAGUUUGAUUAAUGGAUUAAAAUACAAUAGAUUUGUUAGUGUUAAUACAUUGAUAAUUUGAACGUGUAAUGUAAUUUUCCUGCUAGUGCUGAUGAUUAUUGUUUUUUUUUUCUUUUGGCAGAGCAAAUAUUGUUUCUGGAAAGCAGUUAAACUGCUUUCUAAUUCCGUGUCUAAUGUGUUUUCAGAAUGAAUAUUCAAAAAAAAAAAAUUGACACUUAUUUCACAAAAAGUUGUUCCAAGAAGAUGUGUAAUUGGAUUUACAUUUAUUGCUGUGUUUGGGAGCAUGGAAUCAGAACCUUGGAAUUGGAAAUUGAAACUGCAAAUGCUAUAUAAAAUAAUUUUGCACGAGCAAGCUUCAUGUUAAAUUGCACUAACUCUAGUUCAUACCAUGCAUGCUUUCAGUUUAUUAUAGCUGGAAUACACAUGCUGAUCUUUAUGGUAUGUUUAUCGCAUUACAAAUUUAGUUAAAGUACCUUUGAGAUAAAGAGUUUUUGUGUUAAUGUUAAAUGAGAAAAUGCAUAGAUUUGAUUAUAACAAAUCUGUUGUAUUAUAAUCCAUUAAUCAAAUUAUCAACGUAUGCAUAAUUAUAGUUUACAUAAGCAACGUCUCAUUCCAAUUGCAUGUUGCACUUUACAUAAUUUUAUUCGACAAGAAAAUGCAAGUGAUACGUUAUUUGGGGACUUUGAUGUGCAAGAUUUGGUUAUCAACGAAUGAGACACUAGUAGGCCACUUACUAAUAUUGAUUUAUCUCCAGCAAGUGUCGCAGAGAUGAAUGCUACAAGAGAUGAAAUUGCAGCUUCUAUGUGGCAUGAUUACAUACGUAAUGCAUAAUGUCUAUCAUGUAAUUUUUUUAUAAUUAUUUUGUUUAAAUCAUGUGUUGUAAUAUAUAUCUUAUUUAUGGUAUAAAAACAAUGACAAUGUCAAACUUUUUUUUAAUUAAUGUUAAUUCUAAAACUUUAUCAUCAUGUAAUUUUUUAAUAAUAAAUUUGUUUAAAUUAUUUUGUUGUAUUUGUGUAUGUAUUAGCUAAAUAAUUAUUUUAUGACUAUAAAUAUAAUGUAAAUGCUUAGUAAAAAUUAUUUUUGAAAAAAGCAUUACCAAACACAUAUUUUCUGUUUUAUCAUUUUCAACUGUGUCUACCAAACGCAUAUUAUUGUUUUUAAUUUUAAAAUAUAGGAUACAGAAAAUGAUACCAAACGCAUAUUUAAAUUCGAAAUACAGCAACUGCAAAACACAAUUUUUAUUUUUAUUUUUAUUCUCAAAAAAUAUAAAUUCAGAAACAAUACCAAACGAGCCCUAAGCUUCCUAACAUGUUGCUUCUCUCCGUUUCUCUCUAGAGAUUAUAAUAUCUAAAAUGGGAUUCGCAGGGUUCAAGGAUUUAAAUUUUGAUCAUUCUCGGUGUCUUAACCGUAGAGAAGGCUGUCAAGGUUAUGAUGUAUUUAAUUGUACUGACAUUUUCUUUUUCAAAUGGCACGACGUAGGAUUUGAGUCGUCAUCUUAUCAAUUUUUCAAUUUUCUCCUAGGAUUUUUUUUUCUUUCUAUUUCUUUUUCCUAAAAUUGAAACGAAUUUGUGGCUCCCUCUCAUCAGAGUCCUGUCAGCUUUAAUUUAGUUGUAAAAGUUAUAUUUGUAGUCGAACACAUGCAAUUAGCACAACAGUGCUGUCAUUCAACUUACUUUUCCUGAAACAUGCAGCUUCAGUCAUUUUCUCAGGAUCUUCUGCAGGUUUGGGAUUAUAAUGGCUUAGGUUAAGGUCGAGGGUAAGCAGACUCCUAUUCAAAGAGUAAAUAUUGUUCGUUCAAUCAUUUUGUUACGGAUUGAGGCACUCAUCUUGAACUGGUGAUUCAGGUGUGUAGUGGAGAACAAGGUGCUCCAUAGCUCUCUGUUGUCACAUAUGCAGGUAUUCUCCUUACAGAACUAUUAACUCCGUACUCGAGGAAUACUCAAAGUUGCUGAAAUAACUAAUCUCUUAGUGGUUUCUUUGUUUGAUCACAAUUUGUUUACACACAAUUUUCCGUAGACAUGCAUGGCGAUGUGCACAAAAAUACCUGCGUAUAUUUGUAUGCAAGACUCUCGUAACCAUGUGGUAUAGUUUUGAGUCCUUGCUGAAAAACCUACUUUCAGAAAAUGUGCUUCUUUCCUUUUUAAAAUUUUCCUUACUAAUGAAAAUCUGCAGAAAUUAAGCAUUGUGCAGAUAACCGCGAGAGUGCAAUUAAUAAUUCGAUUAUCUGCAGAAAGCCCGUAAAGCUGCCUUUCCUCGCGUACAGGAGUGGACUAAAAUGUCCAUUAAUACUAUUUGUGGGCAAAAAUUUACAGAAGUGGACUUUCAAAGUUGAACAAAACUCGAACCACG